RNAcentral lists this ribosomal RNA (477 nucleotides) under uncultured bacterium. RNAcentral's name for it is "bacterial SSU rRNA". It matches the Rfam family "Bacterial small subunit ribosomal RNA", at positions 15 to 518 of the family's 1533-position model. The record is from RNAcentral.
GAUCCUGGCUUAGGAUGAACGCUGGCGGCGUGCCUAACACAUGCAAGUCGAGCGAUUCUCUUCGGAGAAGAGCGGCGGACGGGUGAGUAACGCGUGGGUAACCUGCCUCAUACACAUGGAUAACAUACCGAAAGGUAUGCUAAUACAGGAUAAUAUAAGAGAUUCACAUGGAUUUCUUAUCAAAGCUCCGGCGGUAUGAGAUGGACCCGCGUCUGAUUAGCUAGUUGGUAAGGUAACGGCUUACCAAGGCGACGAUCAGUAGCCGACCUGAGAGGGUGAUCGGCCACAUUGGAACUGAGACACGGUCCAAACUCCUACGGGAGGCAGCAGUGGGGAAUAUUGCACAAUGGGCGGAAGCCUGAUGCCAGCAACGCCGCGUGAGUGAUGAAGGCCUUCGGGUCGUAAAACUCUGUCCUCAAGGAAGAUAAUGACGGUACUUGAGGAGGAAGCCCCGGCUAACUACGUGCCAGCCGCAGC